This 207-nucleotide ribosomal RNA is filed under the name Bacteroides fragilis. RNAcentral's name for it is "partial 16S ribosomal RNA". It matches the Rfam family "Bacterial small subunit ribosomal RNA", at positions 275 to 479 of the family's 1533-position model. Lineage: Bacteria; Pseudomonadati; Bacteroidota; Bacteroidia; Bacteroidales; Bacteroidaceae. The record is from RNAcentral.
UUCGAUGGAUAGGGGUUCUGAGAGGAAGGUCCCCCACAUUGGAACUGAGACACGGUCCAAACUCCUACGGGAGGCAGCAGUGAGGAAUAUUGGUCAAUGGGCGUUAGCCUGAACCAGCCAAGUAGCGUGAAGGAUGAAGGCUCUAUGGGUCGUAAACUUCUUUUAUAUAAGAAUAAAGUGCAGUAUGUAUACUGUUUUGUAUGUAUU